Molecule: ribosomal RNA, 502 nt
Filed under: uncultured bacterium
Lineage: Bacteria
Description: bacterial SSU rRNA
Rfam family: Bacterial small subunit ribosomal RNA
Source: RNAcentral
UGGCAGCGUGGAUUAGGCAUGCAAGCGAACGGGAGUCCGGGGGAGUAGCAAUAUUCCCGGUGAGAGUGGCGGAUGGGGAGGAACACGUGAGCAACCUGCCCUGGAGAUGUGGAAAACCGUGGAAACGACGGCUAAUACGGAAUGUGGCGUCCGAUGGCAUCAUCGGAACGCUGAAGGGGGCCCCCAAAGGCUCCCGCUCCGGGAUGGGCUCGCGCACCAUCAGCUUGUUGGCGGGGUAACGGCCCACCAAGGCUUACGGUUAGCUGGUCUGAGAGGAUGACCAGCCCCACUGGGACUGAGAUACUGCCCAGACUCCUACGGGAGGCUGCAGUCGAGGAUCAUUCGCAAUGGGCGAAAGCCUGACGAUGCGACGCCGCGUGGAGGAUGAAGGCCUUCGGGUUGUAAACUCCUGUCAUGGGGGAAGAGGCGAGGGGACCCAAUACGUCCCUUAGUUGACUGUACCCCAAGAGGAAUGGGCGGCUAACUCUGUGCCAGCCGCCGC